RNAcentral lists this unclassified non-coding RNA (246 nucleotides) under uncultured fungus. RNAcentral's name for it is "partial contains 5.8S ribosomal RNA, internal transcribed spacer 2, and large subunit ribosomal RNA". The stretch from base 1 to 52 matches the Rfam family "5.8S ribosomal RNA", at positions 103 to 154 of the family's 154-position model. Lineage: Eukaryota; Fungi. The record is from RNAcentral.
AACGCACAUUGCGCCCGCCAGUAUUCUGGCGGGCAUGCCUGUUCGAGCGUCAUUUCAACCAUCAAGCCCCGGGCUUGUGUUGGGGACCUGCGGCUGCCGCAGGCCCUGAAAACCAGUGGCGGGCUCGCUAGUCACUCCGAGCGUAGUAGUUACAUCUCGCUCAGGGCGUGCUGCGGGUUCCGGCCGUUAAAAGCCUUUUACCCCAAGGUUGACCUCGGAUCAGGUAGGGAUACCCGCUGAACUUAA